GUGGGGAAUUUUGGACAAUGGGCGAAAGCCUGAUCCAGCAAUGCCGCGUGUGUGAAGAAGGCCUUCGGGUUGUAAAGCACUUUUGUCCGGAAAGAAAUGGCUCUGGUUAAUACCUGGGGUCGAUGACGGUACCGGAAGAAUAAGGACCGGCUAACUACGUGCCAGCAGCCGCGGUAAUACGUAGGGUCCAAGCGUUAAUCGGAAUUACUGGGCGUAAAGCGUGCGCAGGCGGUUGUGCAAGACCGAUGUGAAAUCCCCGAGCUUAACUUGGGAAUUGCAUUGGUGACUGCACGGCUAGAGUGUGUCAGAGGGGGGUAGAAUUCCACGUGUAGCAGUGAAAUGCGUAGAGAUGUGGAGGAAUACCGAUGGCGAAGGCAGCCCCCUGGGAUAACACUGACGCUCAUGCACGAAAGCGUGGGGAGCAAACAGGAUUAGAAACCCCUGUAGUCC
Molecule: ribosomal RNA, 450 nt
Filed under: uncultured bacterium
Lineage: Bacteria
Description: partial 16S ribosomal RNA
Rfam family: Bacterial small subunit ribosomal RNA
Source: RNAcentral